GUCCCGUCUGUUUGGAUAAAUAUAGAGGCGCUGAAAGGUUUCCCUAAUAGUUCCUGGUGAAUCAAAGCAGAACCAUAAAGGUUGCUGGACUGCAUGAUGGCCUUACCCCUGAGCAGUCAUCCUGUUAAAGGAGGAACCAGUUAGAAGCUGUUUUCAAAGUAGCUGAGCAGAUUUCACCUCAACAGACAAAGCCGAUGGCAGAAGAUCUUUGGAGAAGAACUUCAGGCCGUGGACUGAAAAGAUCAAAGCAGCUCGUGCUAUUUCUGCUUCCAUUUUGAUGGCAAGAAGAAGAAAAAGAAGAAGAAGAAGACUUCAGCGAAGUGGCGUUCAUGGUCUCAGUGGACAGUCAUGGUCACACACUGCAUGUGGUUUUAAAAGCAACAUGUCUGUUCACCACAACAAUGGAGAUGUGUAAUAUUAGUGCAGCUACAGUUUGUUCUUGAACAUCAGUUCUGUUUUCUACUUUGACCACUUAGACCAAAAAAGUGUUGUUUUCAGAUUCUUUCUUUUAAAUCUAUAAAGCACCUGCUCAUAUUUUAUUACAAUUAGUUUCACAUAAAUAGUAGUGUUUCCUUUAUGAUCUUUUAAUGCUUACACUACACUGUACACGUCUACAUUAGAGACAUUUCUGUUACCUAUGUAUGAGACUGGGCUGCUUGACUACAAUUUGGAAAUUGGUGCUAUUGUUUGUUUUUUAAUAUGAUGGACUGAACACAGGAGGUAUCUGACUAAGCAAAGAUUAAUCUGAGCCCAUUUCUACCUGUCUCUACUCUUUCAACUGUAACUGUCAGGAUAUAUAUUUA
This is a long non-coding RNA of Oreochromis niloticus (Nile tilapia), 803 nucleotides long. RefSeq lists it as uncharacterized. The transcript has 4 exons. The record is from RefSeq and is a predicted model, not a curated record. NCBI's taxonomy places the organism in Eukaryota, Metazoa, Chordata, Actinopteri, Cichliformes, Cichlidae.